UAGGGAAUCUUCGGCAAUGGACGGAAGUCUGACCGAGCAACGCCGCGUGAGUGAAGAAGGUUUUCGGAUCGUAAAGCUCUGUUGUAAGAGAAGAACGAGUGUGAGAGUGGAAAGUUCACACUGUGACGGUAUCUUACCAGAAAGGGACGGCUAACUACGUGCCAGCAGCCGCGGUAAUACGUAGGUCCCGAGCGUUGUCCGGAUUUAUUGGGCGUAAAGCGAGCGCAGGCGGUUAGAUAAGUCUGAAGUUAAAGGCUGUGGCUUAACCAUAGUACGCUUUGGAAACUGUUUAACUUGAGUGCAAGAGGGGAGAGUGGAAUUCCAUGUGUAGCGGUAAAAUGCGUAGAUAUAUGGAGGAACACCGGUGGCGAAAGCGGCUCUCUGGCUUGUAACUGACGCUGAGGCUCGAAAGCGUGGGGAGCAAACAGGAUUAGAUACCCUGGUAGUCCACGCCGUAAACGAUGAGUGCUAGGUGUUAGACCCUUUCCGGGGUUUAGUGCCGUAGCUAACGCAUUAAGCACUCCGCCUGGGGAGUACGACCGCAAGGUUG
Molecule: ribosomal RNA, 550 nt
Filed under: uncultured bacterium
Lineage: Bacteria
Description: bacterial SSU rRNA
Rfam family: Bacterial small subunit ribosomal RNA
Source: RNAcentral